UACGUAGGGUGCAAGCGUUGUCCGGAAUUAUUGGGCGUAAAGAGCUCGUAGGCGGUUUGUCGCGUCUGCUGUGAAAACUCAGGGCUUAACCCUGAGCUUGCAGUGGGUACGGGCAGACUAGAGUGCGGUAGGGGAGACUGGAAUUCCUGGUGUAGCGGUGGAAUGCGCAGAUAUCAGGAGGAACACCGGUGGCGAAGGCGGGUCUCUGGGCAGUAACUGACGCUGAGGAGCGAAAGCGUGGGGAGCGAACAGG
Molecule: ribosomal RNA, 253 nt
Filed under: uncultured bacterium
Lineage: Bacteria
Description: partial 16S ribosomal RNA
Rfam family: Bacterial small subunit ribosomal RNA
Source: RNAcentral